ACACAUUGAGGAGUGCGCCACUGGGUAAAUCCAAACAUAUACCAGUUGACCAGGUUCUCAAUUUAACUUUCUUUCUCUGCCUCUAACAUUGUCGGCUGCUCUCUACGUACAUAUGUACAUACAUACAUAUGUAUGUUCGUUUAAGAUAAAUUUUCAGCUCCCAGCUACGUUUAUAUGCGCUGAGCCAUCGGUGUUGAUUCAACAGUUUAGUUUCCAGCUUUGAGUAAUUCGGACAAGUUUGAGCUGCAAAUCAUUUCAUAUUAUUUUAAGUUAAAUAAAUACAAAAUCAAGAUAAGAUGUGGCAAAUGCUGAAUAUAGUUUUGUUAACACUAGUCUACUCCAGACUUAUCAGCGUCAGUGGAGCUGGCAGCAAGCAGCCGAAUCAUGCUGUUACAGAUAUCUGGGCGCAGGACUUAACCGACACUUUUAAAAUAGAAGGUAGCGAUCAAGGCAUUCAAAAAGUGAACCUGAAAUGUGGAGCCAAUUCAAUGAACGUGAUGCUGGAAACUGAGAAACCAUUCACAGGCGUAAUGUAUACGCGAGGAAGUUUUUAUAAGCAAACAGCACCUUGCUUUAUGAAGCCAACUGCAAGUCAGGGGUCGCGUAAGCUGGAGAUGAACUUUUCAUUGGAUCAAUGUCAAACAAUUAAAGAUGGUGAACUUUAUACAAACAUAGUGGUCAUACAAAACGAUCCAGAGCUUAUCACACCUGGGGAUUCCGCUUUUUCGUUAGAGUGUGAUUUUCGCCACCCCCGCAGCCUUGAUGUAGAGACUACUAUGCAGACCAGGGACAGAAUUGCAACAAGAUCCAAAAUUACACUCAAUAGUCCCGAUCCUGCUGCUCUAGCUAAUAAUCUACUACACUAUUCGGUGUUUAGCAACAGUGAUACAGUUGAAUACAUACCAAAGCUUAAAGAAUUAAAUAAAACCAAUCACAUGGGCACCGUAGAGAAGUUGACACUGCCGAUUAUACACGCAAGAGAUGAACUUUAAUAUAGAAAAUACACAUAAGUAAAACAAAGUAAUUGACAUUGCAUUACCAUUAACACCCCAAAACAGGAAAAAUGCAUUGAACAAAACAUCGCCGGCAUAAAUACUAUACAAUUACAACAGCUUGAACAUCCAUUCGGGAUUACGGUGGCAUUUUAUUCGCAAUGCCCAUACUGGGCAGUGUUAUUAGCCAGCCGACAUUACAAAUCAAUAUAGAUAUGUAGAAU
Drosophila busckii is the source of this 1216-nucleotide RNA transcript. RefSeq lists it as uncharacterized. The transcript has 5 exons. Lineage: Eukaryota; Metazoa; Arthropoda; Insecta; Diptera; Drosophilidae. The record is from RefSeq and is a predicted model, not a curated record.